Long non-coding RNA from Vombatus ursinus (common wombat), 2065 nucleotides. Lineage: Eukaryota; Metazoa; Chordata; Mammalia; Diprotodontia; Vombatidae. The record is from Ensembl.
UGUUUGAUCGAGAAAACCAUGUGUCCAGUGGGAGGAGGAAGACAUCCAAAGAAAUGAGAGCUGCUAAGGAGUCGAAGAAGAUGGAGUCUAAAAUCACUCUGCCCCCCAUCAAAAAGCUGUCCUCAGCCUCUAGCAGGCCCUCCAAGCCUCGGCCCCUUACCCCCAGGCCUCCGGCAGCAGGAUCAGCUGGGGACAAACUGAAGAGCUCCCGAGAACGAGGAGGAGGAGGAGGAGGGGGAGGAGGGGGUGGUGGCGGCCGAGGAGGAUCGGAUGGAAGUGGAGGAGGAGGUGAGCCCAAGCAGGUCCUGCGUUCUUGUGAGUGACUUCAGUUUGGCACUGAGUCCUCAGACUGGAAGCCUAAGGACUAGAGGAAAAGAAACAAAAGCACAGGGUUGGGUGAUGGGGAGAAUGAGGGACAGAAAUGGAGUCGGCAGAGACACAUGCUGUGGGUAAAAGGGAGGACGUGGGACAUAUGUGGGAUGCCGUGGAGAAAAGGAAGGAGGAGUGUGGAGGAGAGAGUUUGCUGCAGUGGGAUAUGGAAUUGCAGAGACUCAAAUACCUCGUCCUACCUUUGUGACCUCGGCAAGCUGCUUGUGAGUCUCUGGACCUCAUCUUUUUGAUCGUUUGUAAAAUGGAGGGGGGUGGUGUUGGACCACACGGUCCUCUGAGGGCCCCUCUGGCUCCCUGAUCCCAUCAAUCCUGCCCUUGCCUCUCCCCCUUGUCACCACAAACUAGUCAGUUAACUCUUCUCUUUCCUCAUCUAUAAGGAUGAGAGGAAAAACUUGUAAGACCGCCCUACCUCCCAAAUAAGAUAAUGCAAGGAAAACCCGAGGGUUUGCUCUCUAAAUGGAAGCUACUGUUCAGGUUUAGACACUGUAAUAGAGAGGACUAAACUUCUCCAGGUACCAGUGAAUCUCCCUGUCUGUCUCCUUGCACAGUGACCAUCUCUCUGACUUUGCCAGUGCCAGGCAAAAGCAAUGACAGAAGCAACAAUGGCAUAAAUGACUCCAAGACUGCUCAUUCCAGCCAUAUUCAGUGGAAGCCUCAGGGUCCAUAUCCCCCCAGCUUCGACCAGACCCCCACUCCUGGACAAGAGGAAGAAAAGCCCAGUUUAACAAAGAGCCAGCCCUUCAAGACCAAACAGCAGGCCUCAGAUAAAACUGCUUCUCGGGAUAAAUCAUCCCAGGAUAAGGCACCUUCCCGGGAGAAGAAACACAGUGAAAAGACUGCCAGUCAGGACAAAACCCCCUCCACGGAGAAGCCCCUCCCCCCUGACAAGAACGCAGGCAAGACCCCAUCCACAGACAAGGACAAGAAGACCUCCACCCAGACCUCCACAGACAAGAACAAGCCCUCAGUCAACCCCCUCCCUGUGGACAAACCACCCUCUUCAGGCCAACUCUCUUCUGAAAAAGCAUCCCCUGCCAAGUCACCCUUCCCAGAGCAGCCCCUGUCAGACUCUCAGGGAGCCAUAGGAGCAGCUGACUUCGAGCAGUCAGUGGAGGAAGAGAUAUCAGAUAGCGCUCUGAGUGGCUUGACAGACCGAAUGGAUCAGGUGGAGACUGAAGUCGCUUCUCUGAGGGAGAUGUUGGCGCUUCUGAUGUCACAGCAGGAAAAGGACAUGUCAGAAAUCCAGGAGGAGCUGAGAACUGAACGGGAGCAGAGACUGGAACUGCAGGCUAAGUUCGAGAUGCUGAAAUCAAAGACAAAUCUGGUGUAGGGCCCAGGCCGGAGGCGGCUUGUCCUUGCCCACGGACACAGGCUUCGCCUCCUCCCCAUUCCUGAGGGGCCGUCCCGCCCCUUCCCCACGGGGGCGGGAGGAGCCUCAAGCAACACCCCCCCCUCCUCGCUCUCCCCUUCGGGGCUUUGCGGGUGAGAGUGUGGGGGCUGUGGCUGGGCGCCCCAAACUCUGCGUGAGACGGGCCGGGGCUCUUUGCGUCCCGCCCCAAGGAGUCCUCUUAACCCCUCCUCAAAAAACCUAUUCCGGACGCCGCCCCGCCCCUGCCCCCCCCCAUCAGAAACAGAGUGUAAUAAAAUUGUAUUUGUAAUAGCGCCUCUGAGGGGC